Molecule: ribosomal RNA, 504 nt
Filed under: uncultured bacterium
Lineage: Bacteria
Description: bacterial SSU rRNA
Rfam family: Bacterial small subunit ribosomal RNA
Source: RNAcentral
CAGGAUGAACGCUAGCUACAGGCUUAACACAUGCAAGUCGAGGGGCAGCAGGAUGAUAGCUUGCUAUUGUUGCUGGCGACCGGCGCACGGGUGAGUAACGCGUAUCCAACCUUCCCCUUAGUAGGGCAUAGCCCGUAGAAAUGCGGAUUAAUACCCUAUGUUGUUCGAUGCGGACAUCUAAGUUGAACCAAAGGUUUACCGCUAAGGGAUGGGGAUGCGUCUGAUUAGGCAGCAGGCGGGGUAACGGCCCACCUGGCCUACGAUCAGUAGGGGUUCUGAGAGGAAGGUCCCCCACAUUGGAACUGAGACACGGUCCAAACUCCUACGGGAGGCAGCAGUGAGGAAUAUUGGUCAAUGGGCGCGAGCCUGAACCAGCCAAGUAGCGUGCAGGACGACGGCCCUAUGGGUUGUAAACUGCUUUUAUGCGGGGAUAAAGUGCGGCACGUGUGCCGUUUUGUAGGUACCGCAUGAAUAAGGACCGGCUAAUUCCGUGCCAGCCGCCGC